This 604-nucleotide ribosomal RNA is filed under the name uncultured bacterium. RNAcentral describes it as "bacterial SSU rRNA". The stretch from base 1 to 533 matches the Rfam family "Bacterial small subunit ribosomal RNA", at positions 338 to 873 of the family's 1533-position model. The record is from RNAcentral.
CCUACGGGAGGCAGCAGUAGGGAAUAUUGGGCAAUGGAGGCAACUCUGACCCAGCCAUGCCGCGUGCAGGAUGAAGGCGUUAUGCGUUGUAAACUGCUUUUAUAUAGGAAGAAAGAGUUCUUGCGAGAACAGUUGACGGUACUAUAUGAAUAAGCACCGGCUAACUCCGUGCCAGCAGCCGCGGUAAUACGGAGGGUGCAAGCGUUGUCCGGAUUUAUUGGGUUUAAAGGGUGCGUAGGCGGUUUAUUAAGUCAGUGGUGAAAGACGGUCGCUCAACGAUUGCAGUGCCAUUGAUACUGGUAGACUUGAGUGAGAUUGAGGUAGCUGGAAUGGAUAGUGUAGCGGUGAAAUGCAUAGAUAUUAUCCAGAACACCAAUUGCGUAGGCAAGUUACUAAGUCUCAACUGACGCUGAGGCACGAAAGUGUGGGUAUCAAACAGGAUUAGAUACCCUGGUAGUCCACACUGUAAACGAUGAUAACUAACUGUUGGCUUUCGGGUCAGUGGUACAGAGAAAUCGUUAAGUUAUCCUAACGUGGUAGUUAGCGCGACGUUAGAACGAAGAGAGUGAGGNGNGAGAGNGCGAGGACGACGACGAGGAGGAGG